Molecule: non-coding RNA, 1670 nt
Organism: Misgurnus anguillicaudatus (oriental weatherfish)
Lineage: Eukaryota; Metazoa; Chordata; Actinopteri; Cypriniformes; Cobitidae
Source: RefSeq, a predicted model, not a curated record
UCAUGAAUCAAUUUUAUAGUUUUGUAUGUCACAUUAUUUUUUGAGAAGAGUCAUGACUGAACGCGGACCUUACACGCUGUUAUUUUUUUGUGUGCGUAUGGCCAAGGUACAGUGCGCUCUUUUGCACUAUGACCAGCCAUCAGUAAAUCGAAAUACAGUAAAAAAAAUGAGCGCGAAACCCUGACACUUUACAGAAAGGCACGGAUAUCCCCGCCCGAAGAAAAAAAGAACACAGGACAAUGGUUGCAAGUUAAACAGCUGAACAUUUCACCAUCUGCAAAGAACAUUUCACCAUCAACAUAUUAACAUAAACGGUUCUCUUUUUCUUGUUUGACUGCGUUUGGUACAGGUCACAACAACGACGGCAGAUGUAGAGACCACGCUUUCCCUUGCUUCCACUCCACGGCUGAUCAUGCUUGAGGAUCCAGAUCUACAAAACAAAAAAUGGAUGCUGCCGAUUGAAGGCUAAGUCCGAUUUCCUGUGAUUGACCUACCAUUUCUUCAGCUUUUGCUGUUCACUUUGGUUGCUACUACGUGCUCAACAUCGAGUACCAUGUGCAAGCAGCCACUACUUUGGAGUUUAUUCAGAGAUUUAUUGUGAGGAUCAGCCCCGACAACAGCAAGUGCUCCUCUAACUUCCAGGUGAGCAAAAGAAGUGGGAAGAUGGUGCAAAGGAAGAACUCUGGCCUGAACCAUCAUGUAUAUAUCCACCUUUAUUAAGGACUUUAUGAAUUAAGCAAAACUAUUAAGCAACUAAAGCAAAUACAUUCUACUCAACUCACCAGAGGUUUGUGAAGUUCUUUUUUUUCUUAAAGGUUUCUUUUAGUUAAUUUGUCCAUGCACUGAUUUAUAAUAUUGUAAUAUGAAACUCCAGUGUAUACAUGUUACUACUGUUGCUUCUAAAAGCAAAAUAAGUCUAUGCAGGAGAGGUUUUGUUACGUUUUUUUUUUUUAAAUUAUUCUUAUAGACGGUUUCAUCGGACGCACAUGACACACGUCUGGAUCCGAUCCUUACUUCCGGUUUCGCUUUUUUAAUGGUCUGACUAGUUGCUAAACUGAUCUCUUGAACAAAAGCCUCGUUGAAAAUAACAAAUGUUUUGGUUUCCGAGCUAAUCUAUGUGUUGUUUUUUUGCUUGUUAUAUAAAUAAAAUGCGUUUAAAGAACUUUGUUGUUUUUUAUUCUUAGCGGAGUUUAUCGGAAGUUCAUGCGGACCGCGACAGCCGCUUGUUUAUGAUGUUACUGCUGAAACCGUCUAUAGUUAUAACUGAAUUUGUACUAGUAUUAUUUGAUAAUACUGUGAAAUGAAACAGUGAGUAAAUGUUACAUUGGCUUUGAAAAAGCUGUUGCUGCAAGAAAUUACAAUUUACUCAGAAUAAUAUUUUGAAUGUAUAAGUUUUUGACAUUGCUUAUGACUGCAUUUGAAUGUAUUGUUCAUGAAUUGAUGCUUUGAUAUGUGUGUGUAAAUGUUUUGUAUUUUACUCAGGAAAGUAUUUUGUAUUUGAACAUUGUUAUUAUGACUGAGUUAGUUCAUGACUUGAUUUAAAAUUCUGUAAUAUGAUAUCUAUGAGUAAAUGUUAUUGCAGGUUUAAGAAAAACAGUUUGUGAUGCAAGCUGAAAGUUCAGUGUGCAAAAAAUAUGAAAAUCUGAUUUCAUGUAUUUGAAAAACUAAAA